CGGCAGGCUUAACACAUGCAAGUCGAGGGGCAGCGGGAUGUAGCAAUACAUUGCCGGCGACCGGCGGAUGGGUGCGUAACGCGUAUGCAACCUACCUAUACAGGGGAAUAACCUUUCGAAAGGGAGACUAACACCCCAUAGUAUUGAUUUAAGGCAUCUUAGAUUAAUUAAAUAUUUAUAGGUAUAAGAUGGGCAUGCGUAUGAUUAGCUAGUUGGUAAGGUAACGGCUUACCAAGGCGACGAUCAUUAGGGGUUCUGAGAGGAAGGUCCCCCACACUGGUACUGAGACACGGACCAGACUCCUACGGGAGGCAGCAGUGAGGAAUAUUGGUCAAUGGGCGCAAGCCUGAACCAGCCAUGCCGCGUGCAAGGAAGACGGCCUUAUGGGUUGUAAACUGCUUUUACAUAAGACUAACCGUAUAUUUGCGAAUAUACCUGAAUGUAUUAUGAGAAUAAGGAUCGGCUAACUCCGUGCCAGCCGCCGC
Molecule: ribosomal RNA, 485 nt
Filed under: uncultured bacterium
Lineage: Bacteria
Description: bacterial SSU rRNA
Rfam family: Bacterial small subunit ribosomal RNA
Source: RNAcentral